UUAUUCGUGGUUCCAGGGGUCUUGGAAUGUAUCCCCCGAGGAUAAGGAGAUUGGAGUGACGUGUUACAAAUCCAGGAACACCUGGAGCUGCGAGAAGCUGGAAGACGGAUGGAGGGACCCUCAUACAGAGCUUCUGAAGGGAACCUGGUCCUGCUCACACCUUGAUCUCGGAUGUCUGGCCUUUAGAAAUGUGAGAGUAUACAUUUCGACAGUCUUAGGAAAGUCAUACAGACAGGACAGCGAAUGAGAUUUCUUCAUGGAUGGACAUGGGACACACAAGAGAACAGAAGAGUUCUUCGAUGCUGAACCACCUUUGAGGCUGAUGUGACAGCCGUCCUUCAGCCCAGGGAGAUGGAAACAGGACCGGAACAGCCGGGGAGAAAUGUUGUAAUCAUGCAGGAGAGUGAACUCGGGUACUACAUAAACCAGAACAUGACAUGCAUGUGCCUAAGAGAACGAUGAAGGUUUCAGCGAAGAUAAGACCCCACCUUUGCAUGACUACAAAGAUACUGAAACUCCAGCAGGUGGGAGAAGUUAACUGCAUGCCGCCCACCAGCACGCAGACCCAGACCAGUUGGAACCAGAAGGUCAAUGAUGCUGACUUCUGAUGACCUCACCACCAACCAAUCAGAAGAAAGUCCAUGAACUGAUCACACCCUCUUUGAACCAUCGCUAGAAAACCCUUCACUACCUCCUCCAGAUAAGCAGACUCAGCCUGCAUGGAGAGACCAUGAGCUGGAUUUCAGGAAAAGCCCAGAAGAGCCCACAUUUCUCUUAGGAUAUUCCCGGGAGAGCAUCCACAAGCCUGGAAACACUUAACCAUCCCUUGCUUACUUGAGAGAAGUCAGAAAGGAUUAUUGAGACAGAUUGGAAUGUUGAACCAAACUUAUAAGUGUUCCUAAGCUGUGUUCAUUAACCAAAGAAGAUGCUGAAACAGGAAAACCAAUGAACCUGGGAACGUAGCUAUGAUUACACCCCUCCACCCCCAAAGGGGAAAGGAGGGGUGACUAUUUAAGAGAACAGAAUAUGCUGGUCAUUGACAACGAAGAAAAUAAGAGAGAAGUUGUCCAAGGAAAAUACUUCAAAGGUAAUUUUCUUGGAGGGCUGAAAGAAAAGAUGCAAAAAUAAAAUCAAACCAAGAACUCUUAUCAGUUAUGAUGCCAGGUCUUUGGGUGACUGUGAAAUGCAUUUAUUCAUCAGAUGAAGACAGGGCUUGGAAUUCAACACAUCUAUUGCACAAAUACGGUUUGACCACCUAGUGCAUGUAAGUCAGUGUGGGCAGAAGUUUAGUAAAAAUGGAAAUGUGACCUGUAGGAACG
Molecule: non-coding RNA, 1319 nt
Organism: Kogia breviceps (pygmy sperm whale)
Lineage: Eukaryota; Metazoa; Chordata; Mammalia; Artiodactyla; Physeteridae
Source: RefSeq, a predicted model, not a curated record